AUGUGUAUAUAUACUAUUUUAGCACUAAUGCCCACUGAAGCUAAGCAGGGUUGAGCCUGGUCAGUACCUGGAUGGGAGACCUCCUGGGAAAACAUCUCUAGGUUAUGUAUGUA
This 113-nucleotide ribosomal RNA is filed under the name Sinocyclocheilus grahami. Lineage: Eukaryota; Metazoa; Chordata; Actinopteri; Cypriniformes; Cyprinidae. The record is from RNAcentral.